Non-coding RNA from Hydra vulgaris (swiftwater hydra), 158 nucleotides. NCBI's taxonomy places the organism in Eukaryota, Metazoa, Cnidaria, Hydrozoa, Anthoathecata, Hydridae. The record is from RefSeq and is a predicted model, not a curated record.
AAUCGAUGUUUAUCUGUGAGAUGUUUUCUUGCCCAUGUGAGCAAAAAAAAUACUUUAUUGCAUUGCUUUUCGGGGAUUCAAAAUGGCGGACGAAAAGCUCAAGAGGAACUUUCUUUGUAUAAAAAAUUAUUUGCAUAAAUAACAAUUUAAACAUUUAA